Molecule: ribosomal RNA, 550 nt
Filed under: Bacillus amyloliquefaciens
Lineage: Bacteria; Bacillati; Bacillota; Bacilli; Caryophanales; Bacillaceae
Also listed under: 2 other names
Description: partial 16S ribosomal RNA
Rfam family: Bacterial small subunit ribosomal RNA
Source: RNAcentral
AAGUCUGACGGAGCACGCCGCGUGAGUGAUGAAGGUUUUCGGAUCGUAAAGCUCUGUUGUUAGGGAAGAACAAGUGCCGUUCAAAUAGGGCGGCACCUUGACGGUACCUAACCAGAAAGCCACGGCUAACUACGUGCCAGCAGCCGCGGUAAUACGUAGGUGGCAAGCGUUGUCCGGAAUUAUUGGGCGUAAAGGGCUCGCAGGCGGUUUCUUAAGUCUGAUGUGAAAGCCCCCGGCUCAACCGGGGAGGGUCAUUGGAAACUGGGGAACUUGAGUGCAGAAGAGGAGAGUGGAAUUCCACGUGUAGCGGUGAAAUGCGUAGAGAUGUGGAGGAACACCAGUGGCGAAGGCGACUCUCUGGUCUGUAACUGACGCUGAGGAGCGAAAGCGUGGGGAGCGAACAGGAUUAGAUACCCUGGUAGUCCACGCCGUAAACGAUGAGUGCUAAGUGUUAGGGGGUUUCCGCCCCUUAGUGCUGCAGCUAACGCUUUUUUUUUUUCCCCCCCCCCAGUACGGUCGCAAGACUGAAACUAAAAGAGGGGGGGGGGGG